Thiorhodospira sibirica ATCC 700588 is the source of this 258-nucleotide non-coding RNA. The record is from Rfam. NCBI's taxonomy places the organism in Bacteria, Pseudomonadati, Pseudomonadota, Gammaproteobacteria, Chromatiales, Ectothiorhodospiraceae.
GUCAACUACCCCGCCCUAAAGGGCGGAGCUUGCCUGCCUGCCGCGACGCAGACAGGUGAAAACAAGCUGGGUUGACCAGCCUAAGCCCUGUUAAAGGGGCUACGUGUACAACAGGUCGUCAAGACUCACCGGCGGAUGCUUCCUCAGUCUGCCGCUCUGAAAGGUCAGGAUUAUGCUGACGCAAGGUAAAACGUCGAAGGUCUUGAUCGCCGCUGUCAAGCGGGAGCCGGUUGUACACAUUGGCGAGGGGAGCGACGA